ACGAAGUUCUGGGCGCUGGAAGGGAGCACGUAGCGCUGCUUUUUGCACCCUGCCAACUGAAAGCACCAACAAUUGCAGCACGUGGGGACAGCCGGGAACACAAGUUGGGAGCUGAAGAUUUCAGCAGCAUGCACGCUGAUUCUUUCAUACAUGUAUAUAAGUGUGUGUAUGUAUAUAUUCAAAAAGCGCAAACAAAAGUCCUGAAAUCCUGGAGCGUUACCCUGACUUGGUGAGAUCUUCCAUUUCCGUGCAUCAUUUCUAGCCUAUCCCGUGCUGACAUGUGUGGUGAGGAGUGACAUCAGGCGCUGGCUGCCGGCCCGCCUGGUAGCAGGAGACGGUUGCGAUGCGAGCCAGAGGACGAGCCGCAGAGCCCUCCCCGGGACAGGCAUCAGGCAGAUGGCCUGGCAGCCAUCCUGCGCCGCCGACGGGCAGCCCGGCGUCUGGGGCCUCGUAUUCGAAUGACGUGGCAGCUGGGUCAAGAUUUUUCUUUGGUGCUGCAAUUUCCUACAAAAGAAAUGUUUUCUAGGUACAGACUUGGAAGGAAAACAACAUUAUAUUCUAAAUUAUUUUUUAAAAAGCUGCAGUUAUCACAAAAUCAAAAAGCGUGGACCUCAGACGCUGCCGCUGGAGUGGUUCAUGGGAAGAAUCCAGGAAAGAUGUGCUGAACGCUGCAGUAACGUAUGGAUAGUUUCAUUCACCACUAUAUUACUCCAAUUUUCAACCGAUGUAACAUAAUAUCACAGCAGCAUGAAUAUGAAGUACCGCAGCGGGGAGUCAGUCCUCUUCUCUGCAUUAUUCCAGAACAAUAAGCAGAUGACAUAUGGUCUUUCUCCUUGCUAGUAAAAAAAUGAAAGGCGUGAGAGAUACUGUUAAGUGGAGCUCAGCGAAGGCCAAUUGCAAAGUUCUUCGCUAUCACCUUGGAAAUAAUGAGGGAAAAUAUUGCCCAACAGAUGGAAGAUUGAACUGAUGAAGAUGCCUUGUGAGGAAUGUAUAAGGAAUUAUUACAUACAGAAACCAAGGACCUAAAUGAGCCUCAGUUUCUAGCAAGAAGGGGAUUACAGCAAACGGUGUUCUUUCUCCCGUUAUUGGAUUCCCAGCUGUAGAAAGAAUUAAGCAAUGAGGUGAAGACUUGGAAAAAAGAACAGCUCCAUUUUGAGAUCUGAUGAAGACCAAAGCAAUUAGCAGUCGGUUCCUUGGAUAAGCAGGCGGUCAGGGGAAGACCGUGCUGCCAGGACUGGGAAGAGAUAGGAGACCACAAAAAGGAAAGGAAGAUACCUCCCAAGUGAGAGGCAUUUAAAAAGGCGCAAUGAAGAAGAGCAGGGGAAGGGUCUUCAGUGAAGGCUGCUGGAAGUGGGGCAGCCUUGUGACAAAUCUCGCACUCCAUCCGCAUUGGGGAAACAUUUGCCAACUCGCAGGUGAGUGAGCACCACAGAAAAGGUGACUCUUAGUGACUCUUCUGCUAUCCCCUUCUCCGCAUGCAAGCAUUGCACGACGAUGUUUAAGAGAGGGGAUGGAGUAUCGCUCUUAAUACUGUGACAUACUAUGAUGUUACUGUGGUGUUUAGAAACUCUUGAACGCAGCUCCUUCACAGAGAAGGCAAACGUCAUCUAGACAGCCUAGUUUUGAUGUGAAUUUGCCAGUUUAUAACUGUAUUGCAAAGGCAUGGCAUGGCUAAUGCGGGGACUCUCAAAUGUUUUUCCGUCUACCCCGACACUGAAAUAAAAAAAAUGAAGUAAAAAUCUGACUUCAGUUCUGUCACUUAGAAAGAGCGGACAGAUCAAUAGGAGGAUCCCGUAGCGCUACGGCCGGGGGGGCCAGAGCCUUUCCUACACCCUCAGCAAGGUCUUGCUCCAGUCCCACACACCUCUUUAAAACCAGCGCCAGGCUCAGCGGGGGGUAUUUCACGCACGUGUUCUCAGGCUGAACGUGUCUUCCGAGGGCUUGGGCUCUUUCUGCACCCCUGCAGAAGACUGAAUUUUAUCCAAGUGCCGACGAUGUUCCCUGUACAGUCCAGUUUCCUGACUUGGGUGCAUUUGGGAACCUCUACCUAUUUGUAUUUAUUCUUGUCUUUUCUAGUAUUCUCCACCACAUUCAUUGCUUGGAAAAGGUUACUCGGAACAGCCUGUCAUCGCAUUUUAGUAGUCUCUUGAAUAAAACCCUGCUGGCUUUCUCUGCUUCCCAACGAUUUGGUUUUGUUUUUCUAUGACUGACAGCUCCAUGCCUUGUGUUCGAUAGCGACCGUUUGCAGAGCACAUGUGAAAGAGAGUAAGUGGCAUUUUUCCCUUUUGGUGUGUCAGCUUUAGUUCUUAUUCGGAGCAAACUGAGGGAGCCCAAUUACCGUGCCUCUGCAUACCCAGACCAAGGCUGCACUGAGGCUCAGGGGAGACCUCAUCGCGCUCCACAACUGCUGAAAGGAGGUCGUAGCCAGGUGGGGGUUGGUCUCUUCUUCCAAGUAACAAGCGAUAGGACGAGAGGAAAUGGCCUCGAGUUGCACCAGCGGAGGUUUAGAUUGGAUAUUAGGAAAAAUUUCCUCACCGAACAGGUUGUCAAGCACUGGAACA
Molecule: long non-coding RNA, 2561 nt
Organism: Grus americana (Whooping crane)
Lineage: Eukaryota; Metazoa; Chordata; Aves; Gruiformes; Gruidae
Exons: 7
Source: RefSeq, a predicted model, not a curated record